Molecule: long non-coding RNA, 998 nt
Filed under: Callithrix jacchus (white-tufted-ear marmoset)
Lineage: Eukaryota; Metazoa; Chordata; Mammalia; Primates; Cebidae
Description: lncRNA (ENSCJAG00000080433.1)
Source: RNAcentral
CAGGCACCCAGCCCCGACACCCCUCCCCAGGAUCACCAAUACCGCAGCUCCAACUCUGCCUCUGGCGCCCUUGGGUUCCAUGCGGGGGUUCCUCCAGCACACGCCAUGGAGGCUGUGGCUCGGGAAAGCCCCAUACCCGCUCUCGGCAACUGCACCCUGGAAAGCAGCCAGCGGCCCGUGAGCCACACUUCACCUGACCGGUCCACGGAAUGGGCUGAAAGGAUUCAAGGCAGGUGGCUUUUUGUCCCAAAUAUGUAACGGGCACGAAGCACGGAGCUGGGAAUCCGGGAGACUUGGAUGUCCACCCUGUUCUUGCUCCCAGUGCUGGGGAACCAUGAGUCAGCCUCCACUUCCUCAUUUGUCAGAAGUGGUUGAUGAGACGUCUUGGAAAUUCACGCCAAAAUGUUUUCGCAGCAGGAUGCAGAAAGCAAUCCCAGCUGUGGCCCAGGGAAGAGCCGGCCUUGAGGGCUCCGUCAGCAGCAGCCUGUGGUCACUUCUGGAUUGGUUCCCGGCUGGAGCCCAUUAUCCUGACCUACUUUGGCCCCACACCCCACAGAGGAAAGUCACCGUUAAUACCCUCUCCAGGUCCCUGCAGGAACCUCUGCCUUCUCCAGAUGCCACUUAGGAGUCAGUCCUUCUUCCAAAGAAAGAGAGCACAGAACGCAAACUUGCAUCAGGUUGAAGAGGCUGGGGACAGGGACAACCCAGGCUGCUCAUCCACAGGUCACCGUCACUUGGCUCCUAAAGAGCACAUGAUCAUGGAGGAAGGACUGAUAGAAAACAUGCUCUGUUGGGCCCCAGGCCCACCCCGCACUGGCUGCACCUCUGGUCUCUGCCAUCACUCACCUGCAGACAACCGCCUCCCGCUCUCACCUUCAUCCCUGGGGUUCCUGCAGCUCCCUGGUCUCCCAGCUCUGCUCUUUUGGGCCUCCACGCAGGACUCAGAGAGAUUCUUUCACAAAGUGAGUCAGGUAUUGCAGUUUGCUCAUUUCUGUUGA